AUGAACGCUAGCUACAGGCUUAACACAUGCAAGUCGAGGGGCAGCAUGGUCUUAGCUUGCUAAGGCCGAUGGCGACCGGCGCACGGGUGAGUAACACGUAUCCAACCUGCCGUCUACUCUUGGACAGCCUUCUGAAAGGAAGAUUAAUACAAGAUGGCAUCAUGAGUCCGCAUGUUCACAUGAUUAAAGGUAUUCCGGUAGACGAUGGGGAUGCGUUCCAUUAGAUAGUAGGCGGGGUAACGGCCCACCUAGUCUUCGAUGGAUAGGGGUUCUGAGAGGAAGGUCCCCCACAUUGGAACUGAGACACGGUCCAAACUCCUACGGGAGGCAGCAGUGAGGAAUAUUGGUCAAUGGGCGAGAGCCUGAACCAGCCAAGUAGCGUGAAGGAUGACUGCCCUAUGGGUUGUAAACUUCUUUUAUAAAGGAAUAAAGUCGGGUAUGGAUACCCGUUUGCAUGUACUUUAUGAAUAAGGAUCGGCUAACUCCGUGCCAGCAGCCGCGGUAAUACGGAGGAUCCGAGCGUUAUCCGGAUUUAUUGGGUUUAAAGGGAGCGUAGAUGGAUGUUUAAGUCAGUUGUGAAAGUUUGCGGCUCAACCGUAAAAUUGCAGUUGAUACUGGAUAUCUUGAGUGCAGUUGAGGCAGGCGGAAUUCGUGGUGUAGCGGUGAAAUGCUUAGAUAUCACGAAGAACUCCGAUUGCGAAGGCAGCCUGCUAAGCUGCAACUGACAUUGAGGCUCGAAAGUGUGGGUAUCAAACAGGAUUAGAUACCCUGGUAGUCCACACGGUAAACGAUGAAUACUCGCUGUUUGCGAUAUACAGCAAGCGGCCAAGCGAAAGCGUUAAGUAUUCCACCUGGGGAGUACGCCGGCAACGGUGAAACUCAAAGGAAUUGACGGGGGCCCGCACAAGCGGAGGAACAUGUGGUUUAAUUCGAUGAUACGCGAGGAACCUUACCCGGGCUUAAAUUGCAGAUGAAUUACGGUGAAAGCCGUAAGCCGCAAGGCAUCUGUGAAGGUGCUGCAUGGUUGUCGUCAGCUCGUGCCGUGAGGUGUCGGCUUAAGUGCCAUAACGAGCGCAACCCUUGUUGUCAGUUACUAACAGGUCAUGCUGAGGACUCUGACAAGACUGCCAUCGUAAGAUGUGAGGAAGGUGGGGAUGACGUCAAAUCAGCACGGCCCUUACGUCCGGGGCUACACACGUGUUACAAUGGGGGGUACAGAGGGCCGCUACCACGCGAGUGGAUGCCAAUCCCAAAAACCUCUCUCAGUUCGGACUGGAGUCUGCAACCCGACUCCACGAAGCUGGAUUCGCUAGUAAUCGCGCAUCAGCCACGGCGCGGUGAAUACGUUCCCGGGCCUUGUACACACCGCCCGUCAAGCCAUGGGAGCCGGGGGUACCUGAAGUGCGUAACCGCGAGGAGCGCCCUAGGGUAAAACUGGUGACUGGGGCUAAG
Molecule: ribosomal RNA, 1452 nt
Filed under: uncultured organism
Description: SSU rRNA
Rfam family: Bacterial small subunit ribosomal RNA
Source: RNAcentral